GCCGCUAUCGUCUAGCCCGGUCUAGGACACUGCGUUCUCAGCGCAGGAACACCGGUUCAAAUCCGGUUAGCGGUACUA
RNAcentral lists this transfer RNA (78 nucleotides) under Candidatus Liptonbacteria bacterium RIFOXYB1_FULL_36_10. RNAcentral describes it as "tRNA-Glu". It matches the Rfam family "tRNA". From Rfam's summary of the family: Transfer RNA (tRNA) molecules are approximately 80 nucleotides in length. Their secondary structure includes four short double-helical elements and three loops (D, anti-codon, and T loops). Further hydrogen bonds mediate the characteristic L-shaped molecular structure. tRNAs have two regions of fundamental functional importance: the anti-codon, which is responsible for specific mRNA codon recognition, and the 3' end, to which the tRNAs corresponding amino acid is attached (by aminoacyl-tRNA synthetases). tRNAs cope with the degeneracy of the genetic code in two manners: having more than one tRNA (with a specific anti-codon) for a particular amino acid; and 'wobble' base-pairing, i.e. permitting non-standard base-pairing at the 3rd anti-codon position. The record is from RNAcentral. Lineage: Bacteria; Candidatus Liptoniibacteriota. RNAcentral also lists the same sequence under 2 other names.